GACGAAGGGGGCUAGCGUUGUUCGGAAUUACUGGGCGUAAAGGGCGCGUAGGCGGUUUGUACAGUCAGGCGUGAAAUUCCUGGGCUCAACCUGGGGGCUGCGUUUGAUACGUGCAGACUUGAGUUCGGAAGAGGGUCGUGGAAUUCCCAGUGUAGAGGUGAAAUUCGUAGAUAUUGGGAAGAACACCGGUGGCGAAGGCGGCGACCUGGUCCGAUACUGACGCUGAGGCGCGAAAGCGUGGGGAGCAAACAGG
RNAcentral lists this ribosomal RNA (253 nucleotides) under uncultured bacterium. Its description in RNAcentral is "partial 16S ribosomal RNA". It matches the Rfam family "Bacterial small subunit ribosomal RNA", at positions 524 to 776 of the family's 1533-position model. The record is from RNAcentral.